Fukomys damarensis (Damara mole-rat) is the source of this 640-nucleotide long non-coding RNA. RefSeq lists it as uncharacterized. Lineage: Eukaryota; Metazoa; Chordata; Mammalia; Rodentia; Bathyergidae. The transcript is spliced from 4 exons. The record is from RefSeq and is a predicted model, not a curated record.
AGUGUUCUUUUCUUUCUCAAUCCUUACUCCCCAACUCAGGCAUGUUCAUGUUGUGAUGGCUGGGCUGCCACAAGUGGGGCCCAAACAGGGACCAGAGUAUCGAGGGAUCUAGUGAAGGACACCGUAGAGAAGAAGGAGGCCUCAACAAAAAGCUUGAAGCUGGGUUUCCACUGAGGAGACUGGAUUGGGACCCCAACACUGAAGCAACAGAGAAAACUCUCAGUGCACAACCAGAAAUUUCAUUCCAAAAAGCAUAAUGUGACCAUCUUCUCUUUGGAAAAAGGACAAAAUGGAACUGAACUCCAGUGAGGAAGACCUCCUCCCUCACACCACCUCUUGUGUGUUUGGCUACUUCUGGUUUUGAUAAUAUGACUGGUGUGAAGCCAAAGUCUCUUCUCCCAAGUCCACCCAUCUGCCCAGUCCUGCCUCUGACACAGAGUCCCUGAUAGACCUCUACAAGUUUCAUCGUUUCUGUCCUGAUGAGUUCUCUUCUCACCUUAGCAAAGGAGCCAAGACUCAGUGAUUCUUCUAUCUUCAUGGUGCCAUGUAAGCUACCACCAUCCUCAUUGUGGUGGGUUGACUAAUGGUCAACUUGUAAUGCCCAGCUGAACUGAAUCAGCAUGGUCUGGGCAUGGAGGAU